CAUGCAAGUCGAGCGAACAGAUAAGGAGCUUGCUCCUUUGACGUUAGCGGCGGACGGGUGAGUAACACGUGGAUAACCUACCUAUAAGACUGGGAUAACUUCGGGAAACCGGAGCUAAUACCGGAUAAGAUUUUGAACCGCAUGGUUCAAUAGUGAAAGACGGCCUUGCUGUCACUUAUAGAUGGAUCCGCGCCGUAUUAGCUAGUUGGUAAGGUAACGGCUUACCAAGGCAACGAUACGUAGCCGACCUGAGAGGGUGAUCGGCCACACUGGAACUGAGACACGGUCCAGACUCCUACGGGAGGCAGCAGUAGGGAAUCUUCCGCAAUGGGCGAAAGCCUGACGGAGCAACGCCGCGUGAGUGAUGAAGGUCUUCGGAUCGUAAAACUCUGUUAUCAGGGAAGAACAAACGUGUAAGUAACUGUGCACGUCUUGACGGUACCUGAUCAGAAAGCCACGGCUAA
This 464-nucleotide ribosomal RNA is filed under the name Staphylococcus pasteuri. Its description in RNAcentral is "bacterial SSU rRNA". It matches the Rfam family "Bacterial small subunit ribosomal RNA", at positions 54 to 500 of the family's 1533-position model. Lineage: Bacteria; Bacillati; Bacillota; Bacilli; Caryophanales; Staphylococcaceae. The record is from RNAcentral.